GAGUUUGAUCAUGGCUCAGAACGAACGCUGGCGGCAUGCCUAAUACAUGCAAGUCGAACGAUCACUUCGGUGGUAGUGGCGCACGGGUGCGUAACGCGUGGGAAUCUGCCCUUGGGUUCGGAAUAACAGUUAGAAAUGACUGCUAAUACCGGAUGAUGACGUAAGUCCAAAGAUUUAUCGCCCAAGGAUGAGCCCGCGUAGGAUUAGCUAGUUGGUGAGGUAAAGGCUCACCAAGGCUACGAUCCUUAGCUGGUCUGAGAGGAUGAUCAGCCACACUGGGACUGAGACACGGCCCAGACUCCUACGGGAGGCAGCAGUAGGGAAUAUUGGACAAUGGGCGAAAGCCUGAUCCAGCAAUGCCGCGUGAGCGAUGAAGGCCUUAGGGUUGUAAAGCUCUUUUACCCGAGAUGAUAAUGACAGUAUCGGGAGAAUAAGCCCCGGCUAACUCCGUGCCAGCCGCCGCCGUAAU
This 469-nucleotide ribosomal RNA is filed under the name uncultured Alphaproteobacteria bacterium. RNAcentral's name for it is "bacterial SSU rRNA". It matches the Rfam family "Bacterial small subunit ribosomal RNA", at positions 9 to 524 of the family's 1533-position model. The record is from RNAcentral. Lineage: Bacteria; Pseudomonadati; Pseudomonadota; Alphaproteobacteria.